RNAcentral lists this ribosomal RNA (253 nucleotides) under uncultured bacterium. Its description in RNAcentral is "partial 16S ribosomal RNA". It matches the Rfam family "Bacterial small subunit ribosomal RNA", at positions 524 to 776 of the family's 1533-position model. The record is from RNAcentral.
UCCAGAGGUCCCGAGCGUUGUUCGGAUUCACUGGGCGUAAAGGGUGCGUAGGUGGUGAACUAAGUCGGGUGUGAAAUCUCCGGGCUCAACCCGGAGCGUGCGCCCGAAACUGGUUUGCUAGAGGAUAGGAGGGGAGACUGGAAUUCUCGGUGUAGCAGUGAAAUGCGUAGAUAUCGAGAGGAACACCGGUGGCGAAGGCGAGUCUCUGGACUAUUCCUGACACUGAAUCACGAAAGCCGGGGGAGAAAACAGG